UGAAAACAAAACAAGCACUACAAGUUUCAGUUCUGUGGUUAAAAGAAGAUGUUUGCCUUGUAGAUCAAAUUUAACAUUCAAUUGAAAAGGUACUUCAACGGGGUAUUGAAAAGCUACAGCUGUAGUCGGCUACAACAAUACAAUGACAUAGGGAAAAAUUUUAUGUUUGCCAGACCUACAAAUUAUAUGUAGGCCAAAUAGCGGCUUCAAGAAGGUCUUCAAAAUUACUAGAAUAGCCCUCCAGAAGUCACUCUAACACCUUGGAUCAGUAUAAGCUUUGAAUGACAUUUUCUUUAUUCCAGUCUCUUCCUUUGAAGGAGUAAUCAUAGUAUCUCUGGCCUUUUGACCACCUGACAUGUAACAUUAUUUUGAGGUGCAACCACACAACAUAUAGUUAUAGUGGUGUUGUAAAUCGUUAUUUGCUUUUAGAUGUUUCAGGUGCUUUUCAAAAGUUUUCCCGAUUCCAUUACUUUUUACAAGCAGAUAGCAACUUCUCCAUUUGAAGAUCUGAAAACUAAUUCUGGUACUGUUCCAAAUUCGAGCGUUAAAACUUCAAAAUUUUCCAAUAUUUUGAUUGGUUAAGCAUCACCGAUGUUAAUGUGAUGCUAUACAGAAUUUGUAUGGAGGUUGCUGUAGAUUGUGGUGGAUUGCUGAAAGUUCCUCUACUUUCAUUCAUUAUUCUUAUUAGCUUUGAGUUAUCCACAUGAUUGUGUGUAUACUUUCAUGUCUAAGCAUUUUCAAAAUCUCUACUUUGGCCACAUGGUCUCAGAGUGAUGGCAACGUUUUUAUGAACCAACUAAGAACAAAAUUACUCGUGUUGACAAAAACUGGAUAAUUGAAGAUAUAUUUCGGUAUAUUCAAAAUUGAGCAGUGAACAAAAAGUUUUAUACUUCAAAGAAGAUGAACACAAUAUUCAAUAUGAUAACAUAAAUUGUUGAAAGAGUUCGAUAAAGUACCGUCUAACAACUAGAAAAUAAUUUUUUUUGUCAACGAGUUUCGUCAUUUUGACCUUAUUUUGGCUGACAAAUGAUUGAAUAAUUUACUACCAAUACAAUAAAAUGAAUUGAAAAUUGAAUACUUUCAGAAGAGAUCAGUUUUUCAUAAAAGCUUUUUGGCUUCAUUCUGGUUCUUCAUCGUCAAACAAAAGUGUAGCAUUUUAUUCCAUAACAAAUGUUACGUAGCGCAAACUGAAUAGAGAAAGGUGAUUUUCGUGUCAUUCAAUGUUUGUAUGAAAGUACUUGUUUCAAAAGCAUUUUUUCUUUCGUGUAAUUCAAUGCUCAAGUGAAAGUAGGUGUUUUAGGAACGUUUUUUCUUCCAGUAUGCACUACAUACUGUUUGGCUAUGGAGAAGUGAAAAGUUAAUGUUUUUUU
Leptinotarsa decemlineata (Colorado potato beetle) is the source of this 1370-nucleotide long non-coding RNA. NCBI's taxonomy places the organism in Eukaryota, Metazoa, Arthropoda, Insecta, Coleoptera, Chrysomelidae. The record is from RefSeq and is a predicted model, not a curated record.